UACGUAGGGAGCAAGCGUUGUCCGGAAUCAUUGGGCGUAAAGCGCGCGUAGGUGGCCCCAUAAGUCCGCUGUGAAAGUCAAAGGCUCAACCUUUGAAAGCCGGUGGAUACUGUGGGACUAGAGUACGGAAGAGGCGAGUGGAAUUCCGGGUGUAGCGGUGGAAUGCGCAGAUAUCAGGAGGAACACCAAUAGCGAAGGCAGCUCGCUGGGACGUUACUGACACUGAGGCGCGAAAGCGUGGGGAGCGAACAGG
RNAcentral lists this ribosomal RNA (253 nucleotides) under uncultured bacterium. Its description in RNAcentral is "partial 16S ribosomal RNA". It matches the Rfam family "Bacterial small subunit ribosomal RNA", at positions 524 to 776 of the family's 1533-position model. The record is from RNAcentral.